AUUGAACGCUGGCGGCAGGCCUAACACAUGCAAGUCGAACGGUAACAGGAAGAAGCUUGCUUCUUUGCUGACGAGAGGCGGACGGGUGAGUAAUGUCUGGGAAACUGCCUGAUGGAGGGGGAUAACUACUGGAAACGGUAGCUAAUACCGCAUAACGUCGCAAGACCAAAAAGGGGGACCUUCGGGCCUCUUGCCAUCGGAUGUGCCCAGAUGGGAUUAGCUAGUAGGUGGGGUAACGGCUCACCUAGGCGACGAUCCCUAGCUGGUCUGAGAGGAUGACCAGCCACACUGGAACUGAGACACGGUCCAGACUCCUACGGGAGGCAGCAGUGGGGAAUAUUGCACAAUGGGCGCAAGCCUGAUGCAGCCAUGCCGCGUGUAUGAAGAAGGCCUUCGGGUUGUAAAGUACUUUCAGCGGGGAGGAAGGGAGUAAAGUUAAUACCUUUGCUCAUUGACGUUACCCGCAGAAGAAGCACCGGCUAACUCCGUG
This 490-nucleotide ribosomal RNA is filed under the name uncultured bacterium. RNAcentral describes it as "partial 16S ribosomal RNA". It matches the Rfam family "Bacterial small subunit ribosomal RNA", at positions 30 to 507 of the family's 1533-position model. The record is from RNAcentral.